This 502-nucleotide ribosomal RNA is filed under the name uncultured Sphingomonas sp. RNAcentral's name for it is "bacterial SSU rRNA". It matches the Rfam family "Bacterial small subunit ribosomal RNA", at positions 96 to 633 of the family's 1533-position model. Lineage: Bacteria; Pseudomonadati; Pseudomonadota; Alphaproteobacteria; Sphingomonadales; Sphingomonadaceae. The record is from RNAcentral.
UGGCGUACGGGUGCGUAACGCGUGGGAACCUGCCCUUUGGUUCGGAAUAACUGGGAGAAAUUCCAGCUAAUACCGGAUGAUGUCGAAAGACCAAAGAUUUAUCGCCAAGGGAUGGGCCCGCGUAGGAUUAGCUAGUUGGUGAGGUAAAGGCUCACCAAGGCGACGAUCCUUAGCUGGUCUGAGAGGAUGAUCAGCCACACUGGGACUGAGACACGGCCCAGACUCCUACGGGAGGCAGCAGUGGGGAAUAUUGGACAAUGGGCGAAAGCCUGAUCCAGCAAUGCCGCGUGAGUGAUGAAGGCCUUAGGGUUGUAAAGCUCUUUUACCCGGGAUGAUAAUGACAGUACCGGGAGAAUAAGCCCCGGCUAACUCCGUGCCAGCAGCCGCGGUAAUACGGAGGGGGCUAGCGUUGUUCGGAAUUACUGGGCGUAAAGCGCACGUAGGCGGCUUUGUAAGUUAGAGGUGAAAGCCCGGGGCUCAACUCCGGAAUUGCCUUUAAGAC